RNAcentral lists this ribosomal RNA (403 nucleotides) under Fusobacteriota bacterium. RNAcentral describes it as "Fusobacteria bacterium partial 16S ribosomal RNA". It matches the Rfam family "Bacterial small subunit ribosomal RNA", at positions 355 to 776 of the family's 1533-position model. The record is from RNAcentral. Lineage: Bacteria; Fusobacteriati; Fusobacteriota.
UGGGGAAUCUUGCACAAUGGGGGAAACCCUGAUGCAGCGACGCCGCGUGAGCGAUGAAGGUUUUCGAAUCGUAAAGCUCUGUCCUAUGGGAAGAUAAUGACGGUACCAUGGGAGGAAGCCCCGGCUAACUACGUGCCAGCAGCCGCGGUAAUACGUAGGGGGCGAGCGUUGUCCGGAAUUACUGGGCGUAAAGGGUUCGCAGGCGGCAUGGCAAGUCCGAUGUAAAAGGCGAAGGCUCAACCUUCGUAAGCAUCGGAAGCUGUCAAGCUUGAGUGAAGGAGAGGCAAGUGGAAUUCCUAGUGUAGCGGUGGAAUGCGUAGAUAUUAGGAGGAAUACCGGUGGCGAAGGCGACUUGCUGGACUUCAACUGACGCUGAGGAACGAAAGCGUGGGUAGCAAACAGG